UAGGGAAUCUUCCGCAAUGGACGAAAGUCUGACGGAGCAACGCCGCGUGAGUGAUGAAGGUUUUCGGAUCGUAAAACUCUGUUGUUAGGGAAGAACAAGUAUCGGAGUAACUGCCGGUACCUUGACGGUACCUAACCAGAAAGCCACGGCUAACUACGUGCCAGCAGCCGCGGUAAUACGUAGGUGGCAAGCGUUGUCCGGAAUUAUUGGGCGUAAAGCGCGCGCAGGUGGUUCCUUAAGUCUGAUGUGAAAGCCCACGGCUCAAGCGUGGAGGGUCAUUGGAAACUGGGGAACUUGAGUGCAGAAGAGGAAAGUGGAAAUCCAAGUGUAGCGGUGAAAUGCGUAGAGAUUUGGAGGGACACCAGUGGAGAAGGAGACUUUCGGGUCUAUAACUGACAAUGAGGCGGGAAAGCGUGGGGAGCGAACAGG
Molecule: ribosomal RNA, 429 nt
Filed under: Acidobacteriota bacterium
Lineage: Bacteria; Pseudomonadati; Acidobacteriota
Description: Acidobacteria bacterium partial 16S ribosomal RNA
Rfam family: Bacterial small subunit ribosomal RNA
Source: RNAcentral